GGGGACGUAGCCCAAUAGGUAGAGGCAGUAGACUUAAAAUCUGCAAAGUGUGGGUUCGACUCCCACCGUCCCUACCA
RNAcentral lists this transfer RNA (77 nucleotides) under Flavobacteriales bacterium. RNAcentral describes it as "tRNA-Leu". It matches the Rfam family "tRNA". From Rfam's summary of the family: Transfer RNA (tRNA) molecules are approximately 80 nucleotides in length. Their secondary structure includes four short double-helical elements and three loops (D, anti-codon, and T loops). Lineage: Bacteria; Pseudomonadati; Bacteroidota; Flavobacteriia; Flavobacteriales. The record is from RNAcentral.